AGAGUUUGAUCCUGGCUCAGAACGAACGCUGGCGGCGUGGCUAAGACAUGCAAGUCGAACGGAUUAUGCUUAACCGUAUAAUCAGUGGCGAAAGGGUGAGGAACGGACGGGUAACGUACCCUGUGCACCGGAAUAGCGUCGUCCCGCAAGGGACUACCGAAAGGGGCGGUAAUUCCGGAUAACGUUAUUGAUCGCAUGAUCAAUAUCCAAAGGAUUUAUCGGCACAGGAGCGGCCUAUCUCCUAUCAGCUAGUUGGUGAGGUAAUGGCCCACCAAGGCUUUGACGGGUAGCGGGACUGAGAGGUUGGCCCGCCACAUCGGGACUGAGACACUGCCCGGACCUCCACGGAGGGCUGCAGUAACGAAUAUUGGGCAAUGGGCGCAAGCCUGACCCAGCGACGCCGCGUGUAGGAUGAAGUCCUUCGGGAUGUAAACUACUGUCAGGGGUAAUAAAGUCGUAAGAUUGAUAUAACCCAAAGGAAGUCACGGCUAACUCUGUGCCAGCAGCCGCGGUAAUACAGAGGUGGCAAGCGUUGUUCGGAAUCACUGGGCUUAAAGCGUGUGUAGGCGGACCAGAAAGUGUCUUGUGAAAUCCCUCGUCUCAACCGAGGAACUGCUCGGCAAACUACUGGUCUUGAGGUAGGCAUGGGUGCUUGGAACUCUUGGUGGAGCGGUGAAAUGCGUAGAUAUCAAGAGGAACGCCUGUGGUGAAAACGGAGCACUUGACCUAUUCUGACGCUGAGACACGAAAGCGUGGGGAGCAAAAAGGAUUAGAUACCCUUGUAGUCCACGCCCUAAACGAUGCCUGCUUGCUGUUUCGAGUAUCGACCCUCGGAGUGGCGAAGCUAACGCGUUAAGCAGGCCGCCUGGGAAGUACGAGCGCAAGCUUAAAACUCAAAGGAAUAGACGGGGACUUGCACAA
Molecule: ribosomal RNA, 921 nt
Filed under: Phycisphaerales bacterium
Lineage: Bacteria; Pseudomonadati; Planctomycetota; Phycisphaerae; Phycisphaerales
Description: bacterial SSU rRNA
Rfam family: Bacterial small subunit ribosomal RNA
Source: RNAcentral